RNAcentral lists this ribosomal RNA (497 nucleotides) under uncultured bacterium. RNAcentral's name for it is "partial 16S ribosomal RNA". It matches the Rfam family "Bacterial small subunit ribosomal RNA", at positions 28 to 507 of the family's 1533-position model. The record is from RNAcentral.
GAUGAACGCUGGCGGCGUGCCUAAUACAUGCAAGUCGAGCGAACAGACGAGGAGCUUGCUCCUUUGACGUUAGCGGCGGACGGGUGAGUAACACGUGGAUAACCUACCUAUAAGACUGGGAUAACUUCGGGAAACCGGAGCUAAUACCGGAUAACAUGUUGAACCGCAUGGUUCAACAGUGGAAGACGGUCUUGCUGUCACUUAUAGAUGGAUCCGCGCCGCAUUAGCUAGUUGGUAAGGUAACGGCUUACCAAGGCAACGAUGCGUAGCCGACCUGAGAGGGUGAUCGGCCACCCUGGAACUGAGACACGGUCCAGACUCCUACGGGAGGCAGCAGUAGGGAAUCUUCCGCAAUGGGCGAAAGCCUGACGGAGCAACGCCGCGUGAGUGAAGAAGGUCUUCGGAUCGUAAAACUCUGUUAUUAGGGAAGAACAAAUGUGUAAGUAACUAUGCACGUCUUGACGGUACCUAAUCAGAAAGCCACGGCUAACUACGUG